RNAcentral lists this ribosomal RNA (499 nucleotides) under Lodderomyces parapsilosis. RNAcentral's name for it is "eukaryotic LSU rRNA". The stretch from base 152 to 305 matches the Rfam family "5.8S ribosomal RNA". Lineage: Eukaryota; Fungi; Ascomycota; Pichiomycetes; Serinales; Debaryomycetaceae. The record is from RNAcentral.
UCCGUAGGUGAACCUGCGGUACUGCAUUUUUUCUUACACAUGUGUUUUUCUUUUUUUGAAAACUUUGCUUUGGUAGGCCUUCUAUAUGGGGCCUGCAGAGAUUAAACUCAACCAAAUUUUAUUUAAUGUCAACCGAUUAUUUAAUAGUCAAAACUUUCAACAACGGAUCUCUUGGUUCUCGCAUCGAUGAAGAACGCAGCGAAAUGCGAUAAGUAAUAUGAAUUGCAGAUAUUCGUGAAUCAUCGAAUCUUUGAACGCACAUUGCGCCCUUUGGUAUUCCAAAGGGCAUGCCUGUUUGAGCGUCAUUUCUCCCUCAAACCCUCGGGUUUGGUGUUGAGCGAUACGCUGGGUUUGCUUGAAAGAAAGGCGGAGUAUAAACUAAUGGAUAGGUUUUUUCCACUCAUUGGUACAAACUCCAAAACUUCUUCCAAAUUCGACCUCAAAUCAGGUAGGACUACCCGCUGAACUCAAGCAUAUACAACCCGGGGGNAAAUCUUCU